RNAcentral lists this ribosomal RNA (615 nucleotides) under Triticum aestivum (bread wheat). Its description in RNAcentral is "partial small subunit ribosomal RNA". Lineage: Eukaryota; Viridiplantae; Streptophyta; Magnoliopsida; Poales; Poaceae. The record is from RNAcentral.
AUGCUACUGGCUGUGGAGGGAGGAGGUUUUUUCUCAUCAUCCGCAUCAGGAUACAGCCAUGGCCUUGCACUUUUGUUGCUCGGCCGGAGAACUGAGGAGCAGCCUGUAAGGGCAUCGUCCUGGAAUCACUAUCGACUAGUCGAUCGGGAGGCUGGGCAUGGGGGGCCACUGCCUCCAACAAAAGACGAUGUUCCUGGUAAAUGUGCUUCCUUCACCUGCUUUGGCUGCACACCUGCUAGGCUUGAGGGCGCAUCUCCUCCGAAAUUGAGCUCAAGUAACACGCGGCAGCAAUUAUCCAGUUCCACAAGCAGGAAAGGAACAGCCAAUGGUUCCUCCAUAAACGGAAGCGGGAGAAAAGGCUGUCUUAAGAGUAAUUCGAAAAGGGACUCGUCUGACCGCGGUUCUAUUGUUAGUGACAGCGAGGAACAACCACGGGAGUCUCUGGAGGAGGUGCAAACCUUGAAAACUGGUAUGGAGCGGAGGAAAGUUCACUGGACUGACACGUGUGGGAAAGAACUUUUUGAGAUCAGAGAAUUUGAAACAAGCGACGAGGGUUUGUCGGACGAGGAGGGGGAGAAUGAUGGCUACAAGAAAUGCGAGUGCGUGAUCCAGUAG